ACCAGACUCCUACGGGAGGCAGCAGUGGGGAAUAUUGGGCAAUGGAGGGAACUCUGACCCAGCAACGCCGCGUGAAGGAUGAAGGUUUUCGGAUUGUAAACUUCUGUCGCGAGGGAUGAAGAAUGACGGUACCUCGUAAGAAAGCCCCGGCAAACUACGUGCCAGCAGCCGCGGUAAUACGUAGGUGGCAAGCGUUGUCCGGAAUUACUGGGUGUAAAGGGAGCGUAGGCGGGAAGCCAAGUCAGCUGUGAAAACUACGGGCUUAACCUGUAGACUGCAGUUGAAACUGGCUUUCUUGAGUGAAGUAGAGGUUGGCGGAAUUCCGAGUGUAGCGGUGAAAUGCGUAGAUAUUCGGAGGAACACCGGUGGCGAAGGCGGCCAACUGGGCUUUAACUGACGCUGAGGCUCGAAAGUGUGGGGAGCAAACAGGAUUAGAUACCCCCGUAG
This 447-nucleotide ribosomal RNA is filed under the name uncultured bacterium. RNAcentral describes it as "bacterial SSU rRNA". It matches the Rfam family "Bacterial small subunit ribosomal RNA", at positions 330 to 793 of the family's 1533-position model. The record is from RNAcentral.